GGCUCAGGACGAACGCUGGCGGCGUGCUUAACACAUGCAAGUCGAACGAUGAAGCCCUUCGGGGUGGAUUAGUGGCGAACGGGUGAGUAACACGUGGGCAAUCUGCCCUUCACUCUGGGACAAGCCCUGGAAACGGGGUCUAAUACCGGAUAAUACUUCCGUCCUCCUGGACGGUGGUUGAAAGCUCCGGCGGUGAAGGAUGAGCCCGCGGCCUAUCAGCUUGUUGGUGAGGUAAUGGCUCACCAAGGCGACGACGGGUAGCCGGCCUGAGAGGGCGACCGGCCACACUGGGACUGAGACACGGCCCAGACUCCUACGGGAGGCAGCAGUGGGGAAUAUUGCACAAUGGGCGCAAGCCUGAUGCAGCGACGCCGCGUGAGGGAUGACGGCCUUCGGGUUGUAAACCUCUUUCAGCAGGGAAGAAGCGCAAGUGACGGUACCUGCAGAAGAAGCGCCGGCUAACUACGUGCCAGCAGCCGCGGUAAUACGUAGGGCGCAAGCGUUGUCCGGAAUUAUUGGGCGUAAAGAGCUCGUAGGCGGCUUGUCGCGUCGGUUGUGAAAGCCCGGGGCUUAACCCCGGGUCUGCAGUCGAUACGGGCAGGCUAGAGUGUGGUAGGGGAGAUCGGAAUUCCUGGUGUAGCGGUGAAAUGCGCAGAUAUCAGGAGGAACACCGGUGGCGAAGGCGGAUCUCUGGGCCAUUACUGACGCUGAGGAGCGAAAGCGUGGGGAGCGAACAGGAUUAGAUACCCUGGUAGUCCACGCCGUAAACGGUGGGAACUAGGUGUUGGCGACAUUCCACGUCGUCGGUGCCGCAGCUAACGC
RNAcentral lists this ribosomal RNA (822 nucleotides) under Streptomyces kunmingensis. RNAcentral describes it as "bacterial SSU rRNA". It matches the Rfam family "Bacterial small subunit ribosomal RNA", at positions 21 to 858 of the family's 1533-position model. Lineage: Bacteria; Bacillati; Actinomycetota; Actinomycetes; Kitasatosporales; Streptomycetaceae. The record is from RNAcentral.